CAUCAAGAAGCUAUAAUAGCAUUAACCUUUUAAGUUAAAGAUUGAGAACAUAACAUUCUCCUUGAUGA
RNAcentral lists this transfer RNA (68 nucleotides) under Rupicapra rupicapra (chamois). RNAcentral's name for it is "tRNA-Lys". Lineage: Eukaryota; Metazoa; Chordata; Mammalia; Artiodactyla; Bovidae. The record is from RNAcentral. RNAcentral also lists the same sequence under 3 other names.